Molecule: non-coding RNA, 650 nt
Organism: Paramuricea clavata
Lineage: Eukaryota; Metazoa; Cnidaria; Anthozoa; Malacalcyonacea; Plexauridae
Source: the annotation of a GenBank genome assembly
AUAAAUUAUUUCCACCAUGGCGGAUUUCUGUGUGCUUGGAAUGAAACUGCUGUAUCACAUUUACACAAAUAUUUUAUAGAUUUCGAAAGCAAGUAACCUACAAAACAACAAAACGUGCCACAGAAAGAUUGUACUAUUUUUAAAGCUGGGACAUUUUUUCUAUUUCUUGCUGGCGUGAUAAAAAUCGUACAAGUUUUAUAUCUGGACAUCUUUAGUUCAUGAGUGUAUUUGGGCUUCCGCUUUGAGGGUUGACCCUCGAUCAUUGACCGACUUUUUCUUGUUUGCAUUGGAUAUCAGUCUGAAACAAGACAGGUGAUACACGAUGAGUGCCGGACGAAGAAGAAGCGGGAACAACACAGCUGGCACUUCCACAGAAGACCAAGCUUUGAACCAGAUUGCUUCAGAGGUACUGUGUUAUGAUAUGCUUUGAAUACUUUGCCGAGUACUUUACAAAAUUUUGGCUUUCUGUGUGCAAACAAUAAACCCUAUGUACAAGCAUGUGUUGUGUGAAAGACAGUCAAUAAUUAAGACCUCUAGAAAUGGACAUUUUUCUGUUUUAAGAAGAUGCCAGCUUUAUAGUCUCGCUCGUGUUUACCGCAAAAGAAUUCGGGAACAAUUUCUCAAACAUGCGAUUUGCGAGUAUUUUGCUG